ACCAUUCCCCUUGCCAGGUACAUGGGCUAUAGGAGAAACACACGUGCAACCUAGCAGUUACCUCGAGGUAGCAGCUAUGGAUGCUUUUGCAUUCGCAGCUGGCCACUCAACCACUCAAGUGUGUUCAGUGUGCACUUAUACUUAGGCACACUUUUUAUUGUCUGUAUCUCAAAAAUUUAAUGUGGCUCCUCAAAAUUUUGAGAAUGUUUGGAUUCUGAGGCUUGCAAAGGUAAAUAGUUUUAUUCCAUUUUCGUUCAAGGUGAAGGCUCGUACAAAAGAUUAGAGAUAUUGUCAGUGCCCCUCACUUUCUCUCAGAACAUAAGUGCUCUGUUAUUGAGAUUCUAGCAGCUCUUCAGCAGCAAGAAAGGGAAUCAGCUUCCCCUGUUUUCAGCAUUGGGUUAAUGCAGGCAAUUCAGGGAGGCAUAAAGUUUUGCUUAUACAAUCGUCUUAAAGUCUUGCUUAUACAAGAAUAUUGCUAGGAGCAGGAACCUCUAAUGCGCAAUCACGAGCAAUACACACACAUCCGUUUUUCAUAAGCUGACGUUAAUCACGGGUAGCGCGAGGGUCUCUGCGUUGACAUGACGACUCCGCUGCAGCCGAAUUCCGAAUACUGCAUAUUCGAUGACAACAGCUAUAGGGGCUUGUUGAUAGGUCCUCUUGUAAUUUGUUUAACCGCAGGUAGAACGACACAGGCAUAAAACACACACGAGACAGCACACAACGCUGAACGACCACCUGCGAACAGCUGUUUACGUCCGCCAUUUCUCCUCGUAUUGAACUUCACAAACCGCUGUUGCGCACUCCAAAACAAAGUAAACUUUGAAGCGUUUUUAAAUUACAAAACGCACGUAUUAUUUGGUCCUAAUAAAGAGAGGUCAAUUAUAUUAUAACGCGCACGUCUUUUUCAUUACAUUAAACGAAUUUAUGCGGCGUGUGCGACAAAAUCUGGCAGCAAGCAACUCUGGGCGUCGCAUAAUCGCAUUGUUGACAUCGCACCAUGUGAAAUGGCCGUUGCGAAUUUCGCACCUGCGAAAAUCGCAGUGCAAUAUCGCACCAUGUGAAACAGCCUUCAUUCAGGUUUGCUGGCAUGAUGCCACUCGUGUGCUUUGGUAAUAGCGGCUGUAACAGCCUUGGUUGUUCUGAUGUCUACUGGUGGUGUCACUGGAAUUCCCAAAUUUCCUGCAAGAAAAUUGCAAAUAAAAGGAUUCUCAUUGUGCUGUGAGUAUUCGAACUUGCAACCGAAAGAUUGGCAGUCCAUAAUUCUACAUCUAAGCCACUCUGCUGAAGCUACAGCCGUGGUCAAUAAUGAUCCUGGAGAGUGCGAUCCAACAGGUGCCAUGAUUAGCUAACACCUGUUCAAUAUUUGUGUACUGUAUAUAGAGCUGGCGUUCACGCCUUCAGGUUGUGGCACGUCACCGUCCCACUUGUGGAGGCAGUCCUAUGUUAAAUUUUCUUCUUGCACGUAAUGACAAUGAUCGGAUGAGUCUGCUUAGUCUUCAUUAUUCUUUUUCCAGUGCUUGGCUUCUCAUGCUUACUGUAUGGGACUGCUGAUGUCUUGUUUUCCCCAAGGACAGAGUGAGGCCUAUUGAUGCGGUAGCCACAAUAUAAAUUUGAGAAAACCAAAACAAAUUCAGCAUUAACAACAUAAAGGGUUGUUUUGGUAGAGACCAGUGGCC
Long non-coding RNA from Dermacentor silvarum, 1676 nucleotides. RefSeq lists it as uncharacterized. The record is from RefSeq and is a predicted model, not a curated record. The transcript has 3 exons. NCBI's taxonomy places the organism in Eukaryota, Metazoa, Arthropoda, Arachnida, Ixodida, Ixodidae.